UCGACACUCGACGCCCGUGUACCUGCAAUCCAAAGACCAAGCGCACGAUCACACCGCACGGUUGACAAUUCACUCAUCACAAGCAGGAUAUAGUACUCUCGUUCCUCAAUAAAUAAGUGUGAACUCUUAAAGAAAAGCUGCCAACCUAUCGGGGAAAACUGGCCAAAGAUUGCCCAUAUCUGUUGGAAGCGUAUCAUAUGAAUCAAGCUUCAGAUUCCUUGAGAGAGAGAAAAAAGCCACUCAUUACAAACCAGGCGCUAGCUGAAGUGGAAUGACGCUCGUUCUAUGUUCGAGUCCCUCCCUGACAGACUGCCGCUCUGCCUCCACUCCCCUGUUCCUUACCAUUGCCAGUCGUUUGAGGCAGGACCGCAGGAUGAUACCAUGUCUUCUAAUUGGAUCAAGGACUAGCUACUUCCUCCAUUUUAAAUUAUAUGUUGUUUUAGUUUUUCUAGAUACAAAAGGCUAUGCUGUUGUUGUUUAGUUUUUCUAGAUACAAAACAUUUGCUAUGUAUCAAGAUAUACGUUGUAUGUAGAUACAUAGUAAAUACUAUCUAUAUAGAAAAAUCAACACAAUCUAUAUUUUGGAACGGAGUGACUAUAUACUUUUAUAUUUUGGAUAUUGCUUGCAUA
Molecule: long non-coding RNA, 630 nt
Organism: Panicum virgatum (switchgrass)
Lineage: Eukaryota; Viridiplantae; Streptophyta; Magnoliopsida; Poales; Poaceae
Exons: 2
Source: RefSeq, a predicted model, not a curated record